RNAcentral lists this ribosomal RNA (461 nucleotides) under uncultured bacterium. RNAcentral describes it as "bacterial SSU rRNA". It matches the Rfam family "Bacterial small subunit ribosomal RNA", at positions 1 to 461 of the family's 1533-position model. The record is from RNAcentral.
GAUCACUAUGAGUUGAUCCUGGCUCAAUUGAACGCUGGCGGAAUGCUUUACACAUGCAAGUCGAACGGCAGCAUAGGGAGCUUGCUCUCUGAUGGCGAAUGGCGAACGGGUGAGUAAUAUAUCGGAACGUACCUAGUAAUGGGGAACAACCAGCCGAAAGGUUGGCUAAUACCGCAUACGACCUACGGGUGAAAGCAGGGGAUCUUCGGACCUUGCGUUAUUAGAGCGGCCGAUAUCUGAUUAGGUAGUUGGUGGGGUAAAGGCCUACCAAGCCGACGAUCAGUAGCUGGUCUGAGAGGACGAUCAGCCACACUGGAACUGAGACACGGUCCAGACUCCUACGGGAGGCAGCAGUGGGGAAUUUUGGACAAUGGGGGAAACCCUGAUCCAGCCAUUCCGCGUGAGUGAAGAAGGCCUUCGGGUUGUAAAGCUCUUUCGCAAGAGAAGAAAUCUUACUAUCG